This 497-nucleotide ribosomal RNA is filed under the name uncultured bacterium. Its description in RNAcentral is "partial 16S ribosomal RNA". It matches the Rfam family "Bacterial small subunit ribosomal RNA", at positions 28 to 507 of the family's 1533-position model. The record is from RNAcentral.
GAUGAACGCUGGCGGCGUGCCUAAUACAUGCAAGUCGAGCGAACGGACGAGAAGCUUGCUUCUCUGAUGUUAGCGGCGGACGGGGGAGUAACACGUGGAUAACCUACCUAUAAGACUGGGAUAACUUCGGGAAACCGGAGCUAAUACCGGAUGAUAUUUUGAACCGCAUGGUUCAAAAGUGAAAGACGGUCUUGCUGUCACUUAUAGAUGGAUCCGCGCUGCAUUAGCUAGUUGGUAAGGUAACGGCUUACCAAGGCAACGAUGCAUAGCCGACCUGAGAGGGUGAUCGGCCACACUGGAACUGAGACACGGUCCAGACUCCUACGGGAGGCAGCAGUAGGGAAUCUUCCGCAAUGGGCGAAAGCCUGACGGAGCAACGCCGCGUGAGUGAUGAAGGUCUUCGGAUCGUAAAACUCUGUUAUUAGGGAAGAACAUAUGUGUAAGUAACUGUGCACAUCUUGACGGUACCUAAUCAGAAAGCCACGGCUAACUACGUG